UGUAUGGAGUGAUUGUUAAUUGGAGUGCUUUGGGGUGUCCCUCAUGCCUCUGGGCACAUAGAGAGCUGUUUUCUCUCCUACUCUGCUGGACUGUUACAACCAUUGUCUCCGUUUCUCAGCAGGUUUUAUGUUGUUUUACUGUUUCAUUCCCUCAUGGUGAAUAUCAGGUAUUGUACUGUCUCUGUGCCACCUGUGCGCAUAUGAUGUACCAUGAUACUCUGUUGCUUCGCCUGGCUACAAUCACUGCUGCCAUGAUCUCUGAAAAGUCCGGGUCUGACGCUUCUUAUAAAUGUGCUUCAGUUACCACCAACUCUCUGAAGACGUUAAUAAUGUCACUCUAACUGCGUGUGGCUAAUAGGCUGGUGUUUGUGAAUUUGACCUUGCUUUUCAAUGAGGCUCAUUUGCAUAGAAACGCUAUUUGCUUGGCAGCGCAGUUAGGGGAGCAGUUCACCCUUUGUGGGUGCUUUGAGAAUUACACGGUAUCUUUUUGUCAUAUUUAUGCAGGUUUAGCGGCUGCAAAAGCUGCGCAAUCCUUUUGUGAAUUUGCCCCUCAGUGUCUGUAUGUGAAAUGAAUGUUACUUCUAAAUUAACAUUGCCACUAUACAUAAUAGCAGGGUUCAACCAGCACAGGGCCUGUAGAUGUGGCCAUGGUUUGUGCUGUUUGAUUACAGUCAAUUGUGGUCAAAAAAGGUACCUACUGUAGUCAGAUACUGCAUGCGUAGUGUGUGUGUGUGUGUGUGUGCGCGCGUGCGCAUGUAUGUGGUUUGUGCUCAGGAUGGGUGGAGUUGGGUAGGGCUUUUUGCUCCUAUCAUACCCACAAAAGAAUGGGGCCUCUUUACUGAGAAAUUAAAGUGAUAAAGGUCAUAGCAGCAAUGUCACAAAAAGUGUUUGCCAUAAUGCAUUGUCUGUAGAAUGAAAGCAGAAUGAACUAGAGGGAAUUCCAAGCUAGAGCAUGUUGCAGCCAUGGAUAAUUUGGGUGUCAGGUGUCUGACCAAGAGUCUGUUUAUCUCAUACAAUGCUGCACUCUUUAGAGUUCCUCCAAAAGGAAAAAUAUUCAACGUUUGUUUCAGCAAAUACAAUGUUUCAGCAGCACAGGUGAAGAGUUAGCAAACACCCCAUCAUUUGGUGCUAAUUGACUUAAAACAUACACACACACAAUGAUAUUGACAGAAGAUAUUACCAGCAUAACUGUUAAACAGACACUCAAGCAUUUCUGAUUGAUGUUACAUAAAUUACAUAAGAUAGAGGUAUUAAACUUUAAACAAACUACAGUUUGAGCCUUUACAUGCUGGCACUCAUAGACUGCGUACACAUUAAAAACGCGAAAUUUGAAAAUGCAGUUUAUGUGUGAAAAUGACGUCCACAUUAGUGUUUUCAGGUUGUUUUCAUAGAGAUCUCGGUCUACAAUUAAUCACCUAUCAAUAUACAAAUGGCUAAAUCCUUUUUUUUUCAUGCUCUGUUGGUUGGCAAUCAACAAAACUGUACAUCACAGCCAACAUCUGCAUGUGAGUGGGUCGGUAACAUUUUUUGCCCGUCAGGUGUGUCCAUUAGUCUGCUCUCUGUGUAGUCCUGUCUGUGAGAGUGGACCCAGCCGUGCAGUGUGGUGUUGUGUUUGUUGUCAUGGCACAGAGGUGAUCCCUCAUGUCUAUCUCAGUGAGCAGCUGUCACUCCCUGCACCUCUGCUGUUGUUGUUGUCUUGAUGAGGUACUUUCCCUCCCUCACACUUCCUCCCACAGGACCCUUUGUUUAUGACUGUGUGUGUGUGUGUGUGUGUGUAUAUGUCUAAUACAUUUUGGCAGAUGUAUCUGAUGUGGGCCCGCGGAUUCUCAGAAUAUGAUUUAAACCGAAUGUACCUUCACUACUGGUGAUGGGCACACAUAGACGGAGACAUGACACAUUUGUAUUACUUUUUCCUCUUGCACAAAUGCAUAUUCAUGUUGCUCAUCUGGCUUCCCUCGGCUUCCACUGCCAUAAUGUCCACUGUACAAGCGCGUGGACGUCCGUCAGGGGUCAAAUCAAGCUUUUCUUCGGGAAGACCGGAAAGGAAUAAGACUCUGGGAGGAAUUGGGAAUCCCCUGCUAACGGCUUCUUUGAUAAAAGAAAGGUAGAGUGCUGCACCCAGCAGAUGGUACGUGGUGAGUAGGAUAAGGGCUGAACAUGACAGAUGUUAUUAACUCAUGUUCUGCAAAAUAAAAGAGGCUUUAAACAUUUAUUAGAGUGGCAUGAAUUCUUGGUAAAACUGAACAUUUGAACAUGUAUGAUGUGAAAUAUAACACUGACAUUAAUAAAUCAGAUUACUUGUCCCCGAAUAUGAUACUCUUUUUCUGUAUUCCCACUAGUGGUCAAUUCCAGAACAAAAUGACAACCUUGUGUUUCCGAGCUUCAUGUUGACUAUAAACAAUGUUUUGUUUCUAAAAGCAACAUAUUCAUAAUCAUUAAAUGUUAUUCUGUGAGUCACGUGAGUGUAACUGCAUCCAGCAAUAAAUAUUUGUAAUGAGAAGGAAUAAGUUGGUUAUUAUUUUGAAGUGCAUCCACUCUGAAAUGGGACCUCUAAUGUUGGCACCACUGCAAUGAAGUUGUGAAGUCGUGGUAUAGACACACAUGUUCACAAACCAACACAUAAAGAGUCUCUAUAUCCAUCUGUUUUCUCUGCUUUUUUUCUCCUUCUCGACUCGACAAUCCCACAGCUUCUUAUCUCUCUGCACGGCUGUGCUCCUACCACCCUGAAUCCUGCCCCCCCUCCCCACACUCUCCACAUCCUCACACAUGCACCCCCUCCCUUUUUUUUUUUUUUUGAUGAGCUACCCCAAUGUUGCAUCCAGAUAACUACACAGUGAAGCCUGAAGCCUGUGGUUUUGUGUGUGUGUGUGUGUGUGCGUGUGUGUGCGUGAACCAAUUUUCAAAGUGUGCAUAAUAUUCCAAAUUCCACUGUUAGUGUAAGACAUGAAUAAAAAGAUUUGAAUUGAAAAA
Molecule: long non-coding RNA, 2970 nt
Organism: Siniperca chuatsi (mandarin fish)
Lineage: Eukaryota; Metazoa; Chordata; Actinopteri; Centrarchiformes; Sinipercidae
Exons: 3
Source: RefSeq, a predicted model, not a curated record